GCGCUGUGAGGGGAUGGCAGCGUUGCUUCCCUUCUAUCCCUCGUUGGUGGGCUCUUCAGCGAUCGGAGCUCUGGUCUGCUGCCUUCCUGAAGUGUGAAGUGUGAAUUACAGAAUGGAAUGAUCCAGAAGUCCCAAGGACUGCGGUGGGGAGGGGAGAGGAAACUUUACAUCACUUCUGUUCCACUGCACUGCUGAUGGGUGGCAGCUGCAGAAUGAGCAAGGAGGAAAGAAAUCAACAGAAGCCUCCUGUUAGGUCUCUGCUGAGGUUGGUUGUGGCGUAGAGGAAGAAGAAAGAAAGAAUCGUUGAGGUUGGAAAAGACCUCUAAGGCCCUUAAGUCCAAUCCCAACCCAUCCCCACAGCAUCGUGUUCCUCAGUGCUGUGCUGGAAGCACUUGGAAAUGCCUUAAAAUCCGCCCCAAGGAUCUUCUGACCAAGUCUGGAUGAUGAAGAUAAGGAAGAAGGAAGAUCUGGCUGUAGAUGAAUCCAUGGGGCCACAGGUCUGCCUCCAAGACUUGCCUGCAGUGAGGUGUAGCAAGUUCAUGGAAUCACUAAGGCUGGAAAAGACCUCCAAGAUCCCCAAGCCAGCCCCAGCAUGCCCACUGACCCCACAUAACCUGGACAGUGGUACAGUGAGGGAACCAGACAUAAUGGGUGACUUCAGUGCAUCUCUGGACAAGGGAAGACACUGAACAGUGAGAUCAGGAGAACCUCAUGAGGUUCAGCAAAGCCAACUGUGAGAUCUGCCCCUUGGUCAUGGCAACUGCCCCUAUCAGUACAAGCUAUCAGUACAGUGCAGGUGUGCAUGUGUCAGCCUUGGGAACAUGUGAAAGGGGCCUGCAACCAGAGCAGCCAGAGGUGACUGCAGCCCAACAGAGAGCAAACCAUGCAGCACUACACUUCCCAUCACCUCCAGCUUCACCCCAAAGGCUUGUGGACCCAAUGCCACCCACUUCCUCGUGUCAUUCUUAUUUUUUCCUGUCUUUCUCACAUGUCUCCACAUAAGGAUGUGUCGUCCAUAGCAACAUGAUGUAAUCUCAAGCCCAACAGGCAAGUUAAAGCAAUGCCCCAUCAGCCUGAUGCCAGUUUUUCCAGAUCUCACAAUAGCUGACAAGGGAAUUUACACCCUCAGGGAAUUUGCACCUGACAGUCAGCGUGAGGCACAGCUGCUGCUCUUCAUACCUUUGCUGCUCUUUUCUGCUCCUUUGUGUUUUGUUUACAACGGAGAGCCAAGGCUCAGCAUAACAGGAGCUUCAGCCUCUACAAGCUUCAUUUCCCACCAAAACAAAAAAAGGACAAUGCCUAUGUUAAAUACCUUUUCAAGGCCUGCCAAACAGGAAUGCUUCUUACUACAACUCUGUGGAGUUCUCUCUUUGGAAAGGCAAUUAGAGGGACUGUUAAAAUUAAGCUUUGUAUUUCAAAUGCUUCAAUUCUUGGCUAUUUUUUUUCCCUUAUGUGUUUAUUGAGAGCUAUAAGUUAUUCUUAAGAGAGAUUUUAUGCCAUCGGAGCAAACAGGCUGUAACUUUGUGAUACCUUCAUGUAGGAUGGUGCCAGCCAUGCUCACACCCUGUGUUAUCAGUGCUCACCUUCCCAGAUGCAAUUAACAGCAGGAUUUGACCAUCAUUGCUGAUACUUAGAUAAGAGAAUUACCAAUCCAUCAGUUUAUCUCUGCUCCUCUCUGAAGAACAGAUAAAACAGAAGAUAAAAACUUUCACCUGUUCUUUCUUUCAUGGAAAUAACUGCAGUGUGAAGGGGUUGAAAGCUCUCUGUGGGAUCUCAUAAUGCAUCCCAAGUCAGAGUGUGAACUGCCUUCCUAGCUUUGCUAGCCCCAAGGGAGAGCAAUGAAGAAGCUACGAUGAUGCUGAUAUUGGACCAAGGCAUGUUGCUUCUCUCCCAGCAAUCCACAGAGGACAGUGUGCCAUAUACAGAGCAGCAUCAAACACUUUAGGGCCUAAAAGCUGAGUAAAAUGACCCAUGACUAGAGAGAAAUACAAGGUGAGUGGUGGGACACAGCUUGCUGCAAUGGAAGAGAAUGGUGAGAGCCUGCAGGCAGACCGUGGUGGUGCUCAGCUGGAAGGGAUGACUUCAUCCUUGCCAAAACGCAUGUGUGCAUAUAUAUGGCUCUGUGUGUUAUGUUGCUCUGCGUUCAGGGACAGAACUGACUGCUCCCUGUGCUGCUGCCCUGAAAUUCAGAACAUCCUUGAGGAGCAUAACUGCAGCUGUGGAAUGAAGAAUGGCUGAGCUCACAACGAUGUCACUGCACAUCAGGAGGAAAAACCAUCUGCACGGUCGUGAUAGCAUCCCCAGGGACCUGGCACUGCAGAGCAAACCCUCACCCGUGACAAACAGGAUUAGCCCUGCACCGGAGAGCCUCAGCACUGGGUGUGAGAGAGGCUGUGUCUGGAGUGAGGUGAACUGUUAGUCAGCAGAAAUGGAUGUUUGAGUCACUGAAGGCUUCUGAGCUGAAGGG
This is a non-coding RNA of Phasianus colchicus (ring-necked pheasant), 2467 nucleotides long. NCBI's taxonomy places the organism in Eukaryota, Metazoa, Chordata, Aves, Galliformes, Phasianidae. The record is from RefSeq and is a predicted model, not a curated record.